UACGGAGGGUGCAAGCGUUGUUCGGAUUCACUGGGCGUAAAGGGUGCGUAGGUGGUGAGGUAAGUCGGAUGUGAAAUCUCCGAGCUCAACUCGGAAACUGCAUUGGAAACUACCUUGCUCGAGGGUUGGAGGGGGGACUGGAAUGCUUGGUGUAGCAGUGAAAUGCGUAGAUAUCAAGCGGAACACCAGUGGCGAAGGCGAGUCCCUGGACAACUCCUGACACUGAUGCACGAAAGCUAGGGGAGCAAACAGG
RNAcentral lists this ribosomal RNA (253 nucleotides) under uncultured bacterium. RNAcentral's name for it is "partial 16S ribosomal RNA". It matches the Rfam family "Bacterial small subunit ribosomal RNA", at positions 524 to 776 of the family's 1533-position model. The record is from RNAcentral.